UGGGAUGUGGCUCAGUUGGUAGAGCGCUUGUCCCGCAUGCACCAGGCCCUGGGCUCAACCCCCAGCACCACAA
Molecule: transfer RNA, 73 nt
Filed under: Marmota monax (woodchuck)
Lineage: Eukaryota; Metazoa; Chordata; Mammalia; Rodentia; Sciuridae
Rfam family: tRNA
About the family: Transfer RNA (tRNA) molecules are approximately 80 nucleotides in length.
Source: Rfam by way of RNAcentral